RNAcentral lists this ribosomal RNA (81 nucleotides) under Ailuropoda melanoleuca (giant panda). Its description in RNAcentral is "similar to 28S ribosomal RNA". It matches the Rfam family "Eukaryotic large subunit ribosomal RNA", at positions 1238 to 1318 of the family's 3401-position model. The record is from RNAcentral. Lineage: Eukaryota; Metazoa; Chordata; Mammalia; Carnivora; Ursidae.
CAGCAGGACGGUGGCCAUGGAAGUCCGAAUCUGCUAAGGACGGUGUAGCAACUCACCUGCCCAAUCAACUAGCCCUGAAAA